UGUACAGGGCACGUAUACAUAUUAUUUGUUAAAAGAGUCGGCUUUUUUCUUCAUGAAUGCUUUUCAAUCCUGUGUUUGCUCUUCUUAAGUUUUUGGACACUGUUCACGCAGACAUUUCUGUAUUUCCUAGCAAAACACACACAAAACAAAAUGUAAACAUUGAGGGUCAUCGACCUCGACCUUUGUAUUGAGAUAAGAUAUUACAACAUAUUCCUCAACGGGACCGUUUUGUGAUUGCAAAAUACUUGUGUGGACUUAUUAAGCGUGAACGGCAACUCUAGGAAAACAAUGAGCGUCGAGUGGCUUCGUAAUUUGGCUGGAGCCAGUCUAACGGAAGAGGAAAUGCAGCGCGUCCCGUACCCCAAAACAGAACUCACUGCGCAUGUCAGCAUCCGAUUCAUGCAGUUUAAUGGGUUAAUUGGCACAUGGAUUAUCGGCCCAAUUCUCGCGCUGUCGAAGAAAGAGCACAGAAAUCUGUCUUGUUUGAAGGCAAAGAUGACGAAAGCGGGGAGGGCAGGUGUAUUUUUAGGAGUACCGUUUGGCGUCUUGGCGACUUACGCCAAAAUUGGUAAAGAGUCAGAUCCGUACAAAAUUUGGGAUAGAUGUUAUCGACUGCGUCAUAACAGGAACCAGGUGCGCGUCGAUCAAGCGUCUACUGUUUCGACGCUUGGCGGCGCCGUUCUAGGCGUGGCUUCCGGUGGAGGGGCGUGGUUUGGUGCACUGAUGGGCAUGUCGGCUGGAAUAAUGGCUAGUGCUGUGUAUAAUAAUAAGUUAGAGAAAGAUGAAAAGAAACGUGCUGCAGAGGCGCUACAAAAAGAUAAUACGCCAUAAAUAAUGUUAUGACGUCUUUGUCGAUCAGUAGCAUGUCUGUCAAGUUUUGUUUAAACAUUUCCAAUGAUGUUGUGUUUGUGCCAUUUUUAUCAAUAUUUAAUAUUGUUCAUUACAUCAUUAUGUGUUCAUGUAAAAAUAAAUUUUGAAAAAAUAUAAUAUACAUGUUAAAAAGUAAGUGAAAUAUUUAAAAAAUGAAUGAAUGUUUUAAUGUAUGUUUGUUUAUGUUGACAAUAAAUGUGUAUGCAGACAACACAAUUGGAAUCUGCGAUGCAUGCAUUUCACACGCAGGGACUUUCUGUAUUUUUAUAAGUUUUGCAGACACGUGUAGUAUAAAUAAAUGGAAUAAACAUAACAUAAAAGCGAUA
Molecule: long non-coding RNA, 1196 nt
Organism: Dreissena polymorpha
Lineage: Eukaryota; Metazoa; Mollusca; Bivalvia; Myida; Dreissenidae
Exons: 2
Source: RefSeq, a predicted model, not a curated record